CGACCUAGCACAGCGCUGAGCGUCGCUUCCCUUUCAAGGAAGAGGUCAGGGGUUCGAAUCCCCUCCGGGCUA
RNAcentral lists this transfer RNA (72 nucleotides) under Candidatus Eiseniibacteriota bacterium. RNAcentral's name for it is "Candidatus Eisenbacteria bacterium tRNA-Glu". The stretch from base 12 to 72 matches the Rfam family "tRNA". From Rfam's summary of the family: Transfer RNA (tRNA) molecules are approximately 80 nucleotides in length. Lineage: Bacteria; Candidatus Eiseniibacteriota. The record is from RNAcentral.